UGAUUUUUAGUGUAAUGCUUUGAUUGGUGCUUGUUGUUUAUUUUUAUUCAUUGCAUUACAUGGUUGAAUGAUUUUUGGUGCAUUGAAUUUUUGUUUAUUUAAAAAAUAUUUUGAGGAAGAGGUGUUUGGGAAUUUCAAAUCUUUGAGAAAGGAGAUGAUUGAGAAUUGUUUUUUGGAGAGAAAGUUUUUUUUUGAAGAUUGUUUAAACGGGUCUUAUCUUCACAAUCAUAUUAAGUUAAAUUCAUAUUAAUUAUCGUCUUUACUCCACUAUUUAUUAUUUUGACGAUAAUUUAUUAU
Molecule: long non-coding RNA, 297 nt
Filed under: Ananas comosus (pineapple)
Lineage: Eukaryota; Viridiplantae; Streptophyta; Magnoliopsida; Poales; Bromeliaceae
Description: long non-coding RNA (ACOM_LNC026010)
Source: RNAcentral